This 449-nucleotide ribosomal RNA is filed under the name uncultured bacterium. Its description in RNAcentral is "partial 16S ribosomal RNA". It matches the Rfam family "Bacterial small subunit ribosomal RNA", at positions 29 to 523 of the family's 1533-position model. The record is from RNAcentral.
AACGAACGCUGACGGCAUGCCUAACACAUGCAAGUCGAACGAGGUCUUCGGGUCUAGUGGCGCACGGGUGCGUGACGCGUGGGAAUCUGCCCUUUGGUUCGGAAUAACAGUUGGAAACGACUGCUGAUACCGGAUGAUGACGAAAGUCCAAAGAUUUAUCGCCAGAGGAUGAGCCCGCGUAGGAUUAGCUAGUUGGUGUGGUAAAGGCGCACCAAGGCGACGAUCCUUAGCUGGUCUGAGAGGAUGAUCAGCCACACUGGGACUGAGACACGGCCCAGACUCCUACGGGAGGCAGCAGUGGGGAAUAUUGGACAAUGGGCGAAAGCCUGAUCCAGCAAUGCCGCGUGAGUGAUGAAGGCCUUAGGGUUGUAAAGCUCUUUUACCCGGGAUGAUAAUGACAGUACCGGGGGAAUAAGCUCCGGCUAACUCCGUGCCAGCCGCCGCAGUAA